AAGGGGUUGUGGAAGGUCUCUUCACUUGCAUUAGAAAUGAGUGGGCUUUGGCAACCCCAGAAAGCAGUCCAUGUGCACAUACAUCGGGUCUGUGGAUCCCAGACAUGGCCUCACUGCGCGCCUGCUGUACAUGGGUUGUUUUUGUGCCAUAUGAGCAUCUUUUGAUAUUUGGGAAAAACUUAGAAUGGAGUCACUGUGGUAUACAAACUCUGAAUUGAGGUGAAUUCUUUCUUCUAGUUUUGCUCCAAAUUGCAUGGAGCAUGGUCCAUGCCUGCAGCAAGGGAAGAGAAACUGGGCAAUGUGUUUGUUUAUGUUACAGAAGGUGCUGCCUGCUGUUGUACCCCUGUUAAGUCGUUUAAUACCUCCUCCAAUUUUCAUCUUUCCUUCCUCUCUCCUCUGUCAUGUGCUCGGCAUGGCCUGCAUGAAGAGGUUUGUAUGAUGGCUCUGCUGUUGUCAUCGCUGGUGCGUGAUCUGCAUCAUCUAGUUACAGCUAAAUGUUUACCAAGAUGAGAAGUCACAGUGUUCAAGAGUGACUGAGAGGUCAGUUUGACUAUUCCUAAUACUCUCUGCAAUCCUUGGGUUAAAUUCAAUUUGUUUUUCUAGAAUUUGUAACAUUAACAUUCAGGAAGACAUUUUUUCCUAAAUUCUAAGUCUAGAAAACUCUGGCUUUUUUAUCCCCUCCCCACAGAAAUAGGCUGCUAGCAUGCUGAUUUAUUACACUCAGAUCAUCAGUGAUUUCCAUUUCUCCGAUGGAAUCAAAUUCCACUGGAGUAAGUGUACUGUGAAGUGUAUAGCGUUCUUCCAACAACGUGUAUCUUCAGGCAUUAGAGAAGUAAUGAUUCUGAAACAAAACCAAGUGUAAGCCCCCACUGUGAAUGGGGAGGAAGCCAAGCAUGUUUCUGCUGAACUGACAAGCUUGGGAAGUCAAGAGACAGCUUAACUGAACAAUUGGUUCAUCGACUGGAUGAAGUCUUAAGUUACAUGAAUGACAAAACUACCAAUUAUUUAAAAAAAACCCACAAGGUAUUUCUUGCAGCAGAAGCAGCAUGUAGUAAUUAAGGGUUGGGCUGUCUUGUCUUCACAGCUGAAGAGAAGGACGAGACUCCAGUUCCAACCAACGCAACAUGGAUUAAUUGUACUUUCUCAUAAUGCAGCUUUAGAAAUGCUUCAUAUCUUACAUUUCACUUCAUGUUUUUACUUGGUUGUAAGCAACAGUUUGAAAAGAAUAAAUGCCUUAUAUCAGACAGAAAACAAAUCCUGUUCCUCCCCUCUAUCCCCCUUUCCUCCCUGUGGUUAUUGUUCUGCUUUACGUUAUUUUCCUGUGUUUGCAGGCAGGUUGCUAGUGAACAGACCAGAUAAGCAGAGUGAGAAGGCAGCAGCUGCAGCUCAGCAUCCCCACUGUUACAAGAGGAAUGCCGCCUAUAUGGUUUCUAUAAGCUGCCUUUAAAUACAAGACUCUCAGAAAAAUCCAGGAAACAGAAGAGUGGGAAGGUGCUGAGAGGGAAGUGGGAAGCUUAGAUCUGCUUACAGCUCUGCCCCGACCCUCUGACCUUCUGCAAGUCACUGCCACGCUCUGCCCUCCUAUACAUACCUUUGUCCUUAGUGCUGCUCUGACAGCACAAAGAGUAACCUGAGAGAUGUCCCAAGCAAAAGGAGAACCUUGUAAUCUAUGGGUUUAUCUUCAUUCCUCCUUAUCUACUUAAGCUUAUCUACUAUCUACUCAGUGCUACAGCUAGCUGUUUCCAGGGUUGACUGGAGAUCCCUUUAUUCUGUUUGUCUACCAAUCUAUGCUGCCCAAGGGGCCCCCAAGAGGUCUAUUACAUGCUUUUUUCACCUGAUUUUUGGAUCUCCUUGAAGUUUCAUAGUACUGUGUGCAACUUCAUGUAUGGAACUCUACUGAAGAUAAUAUGAUUUGUCUGGUUAUCCUGGAGCUUCAAGGUGUCGGUGGACAGAAAGUUAAAAAACCCAUUACUGUUUGGUGAGUUCUCAGCCUCGUUAGUGCUAUGAACUCACACGUGUGGGAAAUUCCAACACUUUUCUCUUUAAAUCUCACCACAAAGACAAGAAGAGCUCUCUCUUAUCCCUCCAUGCACUCUGUAUUCUGGUGAUUAUAUCUAAACAGUACCAUUCGGAAGUUUUAAAAUGUAAAUGAGACAGAGUGGUUUCAUUAUUGUGGGACUGUUUUCUUUUUCUUUCUUUCUGCAAAGCAAAGCCCUUGAAACAGACAGAAAACCCCAUGCCUGCUUCCUGCUAUUUUAUUCUUCAAAGCUGCAAAACUUCACCAGUCAUAAGGGAUUUAGGUAAUAGACAGGCAAAGAAAAGAGAGCAUGGCAUCUCUGUCAUUUUGCUACCAAUUAACUUUUGAUCCUCUUGUUGCUCAAAAACACGUUUUAAAUUAGAGAUGCGGUGAUUCUGUAUACAAUCAAUUUAUACGCUGAAGGGAGCUCACUGGUGGGACAUCACCAGGACCUCAUUUAUAUUCUUAAAUUUAUGAGGAAAAUGACAGAAUAGCAGUAAUAGUAUUUGCUAAUGAUACAAAAUUACACAGAAUAGUCUUCAGAAAUUGAUUAUUAAGAGCUGCAGCAAGAUCCUAUGGUAAUGAAUACAAAAGGCAGAUGAAAUUCAAUGCUGCUGAGGGCAAAAUAUGCAUAUGGGGAAAAAGAAGUUUAAGUAUGCCCAUUCAUUGGAUUUUUGUAGCCUAUCAGCAUGAAACUUUGGGGGAGCUGCUGCAGUGUCACACAGUGACAGCUCAGGAUGCAGCAGUGCCACAAGGUGUACACACAUUAAUAAGAAUCUUGGAAGCACUACUGGGAGAAGUUACAGUACUCUGUUUCGCAACAUGGAGGAUGUAAAUAAAGUGCAAGUUAUUUGUGUGUUCUUAAGGUCAGGAGUUCUGAAAUGAGAAGAACAAAAUAAAACUUUAUUGUCUCUCUCCUUAGAAAUGUUACUAGAAAUCUAACCUGUCCAACACACUGAAUCUAAAACCUCCACGAAACAUCAUUUUAUUUCAAUGUUUUGAAAUACAGAAAAAGAAUGUCUCUGGAAUAAAGAAGCAGGAGCCCUUGUUAUUAGAAGUAAAUAAAAAUCUUUCUUGAAAAAAUGCAGAAAGAAUAAAAAAGAAAAAAGAAAAGAAAAUUAAAAAAAAAGGAAGAGGAAAGGGGAAAAGAGAAAGGAAAAAGGGAAAAAGAAAAAAAGAAAGUGAAAAAGAAAGAAAAAGAAAGGGAAAAAGAGAAAGAAAAAGUGUUUGAAAAUGCAGAGCUCAGUUGUGAAACUGCUUUGUCUUUUGCUGAGCUUACUGACAUCUGUGAGAGUGCUCUUUAAAGCACACAGCCUUAAAAACAAUAAGGCAGUGAGAUUAAGAAAUGAGUACAAUAUUUGGCAUUUCAAUUAUUGGUAGGAAGCUACGAGACAUGAACACAAUGCUUUAGGAAAUGAAAACUGAAUUCAGGAUGUACUCCUCAUUGUUUACGCCCGAACUGUGCUGGUCUGACAGUAAAAUGUGAACUGAAACACUCCACUUCUUUUUAAGAAGCUUAUUAAGUGUUCUCUUUAGCUGAUUAAAUUAGUUUCCUUUCAGCUGUACAGCCUGCAAGCUAAAAGUCUGUGUUUAGGUUAUAGAACUUCCAUCCCGAGACAUUCAAAACGCAUGAAUCAGAAUGUCAAAAUCAUGACAUUUCGAAAUACAGCAAAACCCUGGAUUUUCUCACUUCCUGGAUUUUCUUGAGCUUGAAAAUGCCACGUUUUCCUUCUCUUCCUUCUCUCACAAGAGAGUUUUAUUGAUUUACGUACUUAUUUUUAAUGGAAUUGUGUGGCUUCGGGAGUUGAAGUCUCACUUUCUAGUCCUGGCAGACACAAAUGAAAUAGUGGUGAAUAUGAAAUUAUCCAAGACUUGUAACAGGAAAAUGAGAGCUGACAGUUGGAUGGUUGACAUUUAGGUAGUGUAAAAAGAACAGAGCCCAAAGCCUUACUCUCAGGGCUGUGUCUGUGAGGUUGGUAUGGAGUUUGUCAGCUGGACUGCUCCAGUCAAAGCACAAUACCAAGCUCCUGAAGACCACUGGUUGCUCUGUUAGUGGCCAUGACUGCAGUGUGCUGCCCAGCCUUUUACCUAUAGGCUUCUCCUAAAAGCUCUUAUUUAACUUCAGAAAAUUGUGCCCACUCAAUGCAAUUAGGAUAUAACAAACACCAACAAGGCCGUACUUUGAGAAAUCUUUCCCCUCCAGAGUUCGACUGCUUAACAAUUUUCUUUCUACAUUCCUGAAGUCAAUGCAAAUGCAAAAAUAAAAGCA
Molecule: long non-coding RNA, 4286 nt
Organism: Gallus gallus (chicken)
Lineage: Eukaryota; Metazoa; Chordata; Aves; Galliformes; Phasianidae
Source: Ensembl